RNAcentral lists this ribosomal RNA (1553 nucleotides) under Salmonella enterica subsp. enterica serovar Montevideo str. 495297-1. Its description in RNAcentral is "bacterial SSU rRNA". It matches the Rfam family "Bacterial small subunit ribosomal RNA". Lineage: Bacteria; Pseudomonadati; Pseudomonadota; Gammaproteobacteria; Enterobacterales; Enterobacteriaceae. RNAcentral also lists the same sequence under 1 other name. The record is from RNAcentral.
AAAUUGAAGAGUUUGAUCAUGGCUCAGAUUGAACGCUGGCGGCAGGCCUAACACAUGCAAGUCGAACGGUAACAGGAAGCAGCUUGCUGCUUUGCUGACGAGUGGCGGACGGGUGAGUAAUGUCUGGGAAACUGCCUGAUGGAGGGGGAUAACUACUGGAAACGGUGGCUAAUACCGCAUAACGUCGCAAGACCAAAGAGGGGGACCUUCGGGCCUCUUGCCAUCAGAUGUGCCCAGAUGGGAUUAGCUUGUUGGUGAGGUAACGGCUCACCAAGGCGACGAUCCCUAGCUGGUCUGAGAGGAUGACCAGCCACACUGGAACUGAGACACGGUCCAGACUCCUACGGGAGGCAGCAGUGGGGAAUAUUGCACAAUGGGCGCAAGCCUGAUGCAGCCAUGCCGCGUGUAUGAAGAAGGCCUUCGGGUUGUAAAGUACUUUCAGCGGGGAGGAAGGUGUUGUGGUUAAUAACCGCAGCAAUUGACGUUACCCGCAGAAGAAGCACCGGCUAACUCCGUGCCAGCAGCCGCGGUAAUACGGAGGGUGCAAGCGUUAAUCGGAAUUACUGGGCGUAAAGCGCACGCAGGCGGUCUGUCAAGUCGGAUGUGAAAUCCCCGGGCUCAACCUGGGAACUGCAUUCGAAACUGGCAGGCUUGAGUCUUGUAGAGGGGGGUAGAAUUCCAGGUGUAGCGGUGAAAUGCGUAGAGAUCUGGAGGAAUACCGGUGGCGAAGGCGGCCCCCUGGACAAAGACUGACGCUCAGGUGCGAAAGCGUGGGGAGCAAACAGGAUUAGAUACCCUGGUAGUCCACGCCGUAAACGAUGUCUACUUGGAGGUUGUGCCCUUGAGGCGUGGCUUCCGGAGCUAACGCGUUAAGUAGACCGCCUGGGGAGUACGGCCGCAAGGUUAAAACUCAAAUGAAUUGACGGGGGCCCGCACAAGCGGUGGAGCAUGUGGUUUAAUUCGAUGCAACGCGAAGAACCUUACCUGGUCUUGACAUCCACGGAAGAAUUUCAGAGAUGGAUUUGUGCCUUCGGGAACCGUGAGACAGGUGCUGCAUGGCUGUCGUCAGCUCGUGUUGUGAAAUGUUGGGUUAAGUCCCGCAACGAGCGCAACCCUUAUCCUUUGUUGCCAGCGAUUCGGUCGGGAACUCAAAGGAGACUGCCAGUGAUAAACUGGAGGAAGGUGGGGAUGACGUCAAGUCAUCAUGGCCCUUACGACCAGGGCUACACACGUGCUACAAUGGCGCAUACAAAGAGAAGCGACCUCGCGAGAGCAAGCGGACCUCAUAAAGUGCGUCGUAGUCCGGAUUGGAGUCUGCAACUCGACUCCAUGAAGUCGGAAUCGCUAGUAAUCGUGGAUCAGAAUGCCACGGUGAAUACGUUCCCGGGCCUUGUACACACCGCCCGUCACACCAUGGGAGUGGGUUGCAAAAGAAGUAGGUAGCUUAACCUUCGGGAGGGCGCUUACCACUUUGUGAUUCAUGACUGGGGUGAAGUCGUAACAAGGUAACCGUAGGGGAACCUGCGGUUGGAUCACCUCCUUACCUUAAAGAA